GCCGAGAUGGUGGAAUUGGUAGACACGCUAUCUUGAGGGGGUAGUGCCCGUAUGGGCGUGCGGGUUCAAGUCCCGCUCUCGGCACCA
This 87-nucleotide transfer RNA is filed under the name Oceanimonas doudoroffii. Its description in RNAcentral is "tRNA-Leu". It matches the Rfam family "tRNA". Rfam says of the family: Transfer RNA (tRNA) molecules are approximately 80 nucleotides in length. Their secondary structure includes four short double-helical elements and three loops (D, anti-codon, and T loops). RNAcentral also lists the same sequence under 3 other names. Lineage: Bacteria; Pseudomonadati; Pseudomonadota; Gammaproteobacteria; Aeromonadales; Aeromonadaceae. The record is from RNAcentral.